RNAcentral lists this long non-coding RNA (557 nucleotides) under Lathyrus oleraceus (garden pea). Its description in RNAcentral is "Pisum sativum (pea) long non-coding RNA (PSAT_LNC024701)". The record is from RNAcentral. Lineage: Eukaryota; Viridiplantae; Streptophyta; Magnoliopsida; Fabales; Fabaceae.
ACAUUUGAGAAAAACCGAAAAAUUAUUAUCCUAAUAAUUAAUAAUUUUGUGUAGGAUAUAAUCAAUAGUCCAUUUAAUAAAGCAUAUUUAUAAAUUUGUUAAUAUCUUCGUCGUGAUAUUUUACUCUCACGGACAAAUAAUUACUCUAAACAUAUAUAUUUUUAAAAAACAUGCAUCCGAAUAAGCCCUAAUUUUUCAACUAGGACUCCAUAAAGUGGCAAAACACAAUCGUAAGUAAUAAUCUUUAUAAUUAAAAAUGGAUAGAAGUUGUUAUUUAAUUAUUUAUUUAUUUUUACCUUCGAGACAAACUAAAAAUUUAUGAUUCUAUUAAAUGAUAAAUUUUUAGGAUAUAUUUGAUAGUUGAUUUAUUUAAUUAUAUUGAUAUAUACUUAUUUGAAGUUGCUUUUAUAUUUAUUUUUUGUUUUAGAAGUAAUAAGGUACUUGUUCAACACCCUAGAGUUUUGAAUUUAUACAUGUUUGAAAAAAUAAAAUAAAACACAAUUUACGUAAACAUAAGAGUAUAUUCGAAGAAAAGUCAUAAGCAAACAAGAUAAUCA